Molecule: RNase P RNA, 353 nt
Filed under: Thermoplasmata archaeon
Lineage: Archaea; Methanobacteriati; Thermoplasmatota; Thermoplasmata
Description: RNase P RNA component
Rfam family: Archaeal RNase P
About the family: Ribonuclease P (RNase P) is a ubiquitous endoribonuclease, found in archaea, bacteria and eukarya as well as chloroplasts and mitochondria. Its best characterised activity is the generation of mature 5'-ends of tRNAs by cleaving the 5'-leader elements of precursor-tRNAs.
Source: RNAcentral
AGGUGUAGGUGGACGGCUGACGGUGAAGGGAUUAAUCCCCUUUCAAAAACCUCUUAACUUGGGGUGUCAAGAGGGGAAACCCCUUUGCUGAGGAAAGUCCUCCCUCACUCUGGACCAGGGAUCCACGCAAGUGGAAGGAGCGAGAGUUCCUGCAGAGGAGCAGAAACGACACAGCCAGCAGAUUAUGCGAUGAUACGCGUUUGGCGUUGAGGUCUCUGCUGGAUUUGGUGAAACGGCCAAUCUGCCCCUGGAGCAAGCCCAAACAGCGGGGAUCGGUUGUCCAGACCGCUCCGCAGGUAGGGCGCUUAGUAGAAUGCCGUCUUAAAACAGAAGGAGGCUUACGGCCUACACCU